GUGCUCGCUUUGGCAGCACAUAUACUAAAAUUGGAAUGAUACAGAGAAGAUUAGCAUGGCCCCUGCACAAGGAUGACAUGCAAAUUUGCGAAGCCUUCCAUAUUUAA
Small nuclear RNA from Mustela lutreola (European mink), 107 nucleotides. The record is from RefSeq and is a predicted model, not a curated record. Lineage: Eukaryota; Metazoa; Chordata; Mammalia; Carnivora; Mustelidae.